CUCACCUGAGACAUACUCACUGAGGGUUGUAUGAGAAGAAAGAACACCAUCUGGUAAGUCCCAGAAGCUACCAGAGAGUUCAGUGCUUCAAGUAUUUCUUCAUAUCUCAUCAGUAUGAUCCAGAUAUGUGGGUAGUGUCAGCUCCAGCCAAGGACUGUGGGUGAGAAUCAAUUAUAGAACUGCUGGGACAGAAGAAAGGUAUGAGCAUCAGUGAUAGACCAGAUCAAAGUAGUGGUUCGUUUGAGAUCAAAGAAUCAGCUACAUCUAAGCAAGAAAUAAAGAUGGGUCAGAGGCGGCAUUUGGAACUAGCUUGACAAAAACUAAGAACUUAGGUCAGCAGGCCAACAGCAUUGAGAUUUAUAGAUGUAGGUAAAGUUAAAACUUGUAUUUAGAUUUUCUUAGUUGAAUCAUCUUUUUAAA
Molecule: long non-coding RNA, 420 nt
Organism: Sarcophilus harrisii (Tasmanian devil)
Lineage: Eukaryota; Metazoa; Chordata; Mammalia; Dasyuromorphia; Dasyuridae
Exons: 3
Source: RefSeq, a predicted model, not a curated record